This 878-nucleotide long non-coding RNA is filed under the name Parus major (Great Tit). Its description in RNAcentral is "lncRNA (ENSPMJG00000007218.1)". The record is from RNAcentral. Lineage: Eukaryota; Metazoa; Chordata; Aves; Passeriformes; Paridae.
CCAGGAAUCCACCCUAGGAUCCACCCCUGGAACCCAUCCCAGGAAUCCAUUGCUGGGAUCAAUCCCAGGAAUCCACCCCAGGAUCCACCCCAGGAUCCAUUGCUGGGAUCCAUCCCAGGAAUCCACCCCUGGAACCCAUCCCAGGGAUCAAUCCCAGGAAUCCACCCUAGGAAUCCAUCCCAGAAUCCACCCCAGGAUCCAUCGCUGGGAUCCAUCCCAGGGAUCCAUUCCAGGAAUCCAUCCCAGAACCCAUCCCAAAAUUCACCCCAGGAUCCACCCCAGGAUCCAUCCCAGGAAUUCAUCCCAGGGAUCAAUCCCAGGAAUCCAUCCCAGGGAUCCACCCCAGGAUCCAUCCCAGGAAUCCACCCCAGGAUCCAUUCCAGGAAUCCACCCCAGGAUCCAUUCCAGGGAUCCACCCCAGGAUCCAUCACUGGGAUCCAUUCCAGGGAUCCACCCCAGAAUCCAUCCCAGGAAUCCAUCGCUGGGAUCCACCCCAGGGAUCCACCCCAGGAAUCCACCCCUGGAACCCAUCCCAGGAACCCAUCCCAGGAAUCCACCCCAGGAAUCCACCCCAGGAAUCCAUCCCAGGAAUCCAUCCCAAAAUCCACCCCAGGAUCCAUUCCAGGGAUCCACCCCAGAAUCCAUCCCAGGAAUCCAUCGCUGGGAUCCACCCCAGAAUCCACCCCAGGAUCCACCCCAGGAUCCACCCACACCACCCGCCACGGUUGCUAAAAGAAUAAACAACAAAACCACAAACAAACAAAACCCACAAAAAAAAAAAAACAACAAAACCAAGAACAACAAACAAAGAAAAGCAGAAAACAACAAAAAAAAACCACACAAAAAGAAAAAAAAGAGAAGCCUUUGUAAAUUUCUUU